Molecule: ribosomal RNA, 305 nt
Filed under: uncultured bacterium
Lineage: Bacteria
Description: bacterial SSU rRNA
Rfam family: Bacterial small subunit ribosomal RNA
Source: RNAcentral
UUUGCCUACGGGGGGCAGCAGUGAGGAAUAUUGGUCAAUGGGCGAGAGCCUGAACCAGCCAAGUCGCGUGAGGGAAGACGGUCCUAUGGAUUGUAAACCUCUUUUGUCGGGGAGCAAAAAGGCCUCGUGAGGCCACAAGUGAGAGUACCCGAAGAAAAAGCAUCGGCUAACUACGUGCCAGCAGCCGCGGUAAUACGUAGGUGGCAAGCGUUAUCCGGAUUUACUGGGUGUAAAGGGCGUGUAGGCGGGAGAGCAAGUCAGACGUGAAAUUCCAGGGCUCAACCCUGGAACUGCGUUUGAAACUG